CUACGGGGGGCUGCAGCCGAGAAUAUUGCGCAAUGGGCGAAAGCCUGACGCAGCGACGCCGCGUGCUCGAAGAAGCCCUAUGGGGUGUAAAGAGCUUUUAACUGAGAAUAACCUUCGGGUGAAUGUACCAGUUGAAUAAGGGGCUGCUAAUUUCGUGCCAGCAGCAGCGGUAAGACGAGAGCCCCGAGCGUUAUCCGGAUUUAUUGGGCGUAAAGCGUCCGCAGGCGGUUUGGUAAGUUUUGGGUUAAAUACCCUGGGCUCAACCUAGGGAAUGCUCAAUAUACUGCUAAACUAGAGGACAGUAGAGGCUGACGGAACACACGGUGUGGGGGUGGAAUCCGUUGAUAUCGUGUGGAACACCAAAAGCGAAGGCAGUCAGCUGGGGUGAUCCUGACGCUCAUGGACGAAAGCUAAGGGAGAGAAGAGGAUUAGAUACCCUAGUAGUC
RNAcentral lists this ribosomal RNA (446 nucleotides) under uncultured bacterium. RNAcentral describes it as "partial 16S ribosomal RNA". It matches the Rfam family "Bacterial small subunit ribosomal RNA", at positions 339 to 795 of the family's 1533-position model. The record is from RNAcentral.